CCUACGGGUGGCAGCAGUAGGGACUCUUCCACAAUGGGCGAAAGCCUGAUGGAGCAACGCCGCGUGGGUGAUGAAGGUCUUCGGAUCGUAAAACCCUGUUGUUAGAGAAGAACGUGCGUGAUAGUAACUGUUCACGUUUUGACGGUAUCUUACCAGACAGCCACGGCUAACUCCGUGCCAGCAGCCGCGGUAAUACGUAGGUGGCAAGCGUUAUACGGAUUUAUUGGGAGUAAAGGGCACGCAUGCGGUCUUUCAAGUCUAAUGUGAAAGCCUGGUGAUUAACGGUAGUAGUGCAGUGGAAACUGGGAGACGUGAGUGCAGAAGAGGAGAGUGGAACUCCAGGUGUAG
Molecule: ribosomal RNA, 348 nt
Filed under: uncultured bacterium
Lineage: Bacteria
Description: partial 16S ribosomal RNA
Rfam family: Bacterial small subunit ribosomal RNA
Source: RNAcentral